This is a long non-coding RNA of Passer domesticus (house sparrow), 925 nucleotides long. RefSeq lists it as uncharacterized. Lineage: Eukaryota; Metazoa; Chordata; Aves; Passeriformes; Passeridae. The transcript has 7 exons. The record is from RefSeq and is a predicted model, not a curated record.
GGAUGGCAUUGUGAAAGGUAGUUACCUGGCAUAUAGUCUGCUCUAGCAGGAGAUAAACUAAAUUGCAGAAGAUCAUCUUCUUUGUACACACACAGAUCACAGAGAUUGGAAGAAGUGCUGCCCUGCCUACAAAAGAAUAACAAUGUCCAGGCACCAGCCACUUUUAAAUGUUCUGAAUCCCACCUGUGGGAUCUGAAUGGAUCUGAAUCCCAAUUGUGUAGUAGUAAGAUAUAAGCAGGUGAAGGAGAAGAGCAACUUCUGAUCAACCACUGCAAGAGACAGCAGACUCCAACAUCCAGAGAUCCUACAGCUUCCCAUUCUGAAUCCUCCCUUAUCACCCCUGCAAAAGAAACAAUUAAGAUCUUCCAUACAAUGCUGGUAAUAGAGAGAUUCUACACCUCUGCAUGACUAGAUCACUUGUCAGCAGAAAAUGCUUCUGGGGGAAAAUUAUAUGUCAUUUGGAAAACAUUUUCUAGCAGUGGAAGUCUUGAGAAAAAAAAAAUUCUAGUUUCUUCAACACCAUCAAAGAAAGAUCUAUAUGCAGGAUUCGUUCUUGAAAGGACAGCGAGGCCCUUUCUACAGUAGGACAACGUGCUCUGUACUGAUGUAAUUGCAUUUAUGCCAACUUCUUCAGAGUAGGCAGUGCUUUAGCUGACCUUGAAAAACACUGAAUCUGUCCAACAGGACAAUAUUCCAGGACUACAGAUAGAGGUGAAGAAUUUGCUGCACCAUGCCUGGGUGAUAGCUUCCUCCAGAGCGAGGGCAGUGAGAAAAGAAUUGAGGAAUUGAUGGUGAUUUCUCCAAGUUCCCCAUCAAUGUCAGAUUCAAACCAUUUGAUGUCAUUAGAAGUGAAGCAGUCUGUUGUCAUUUUUCUCCUCUUUAUAUUGCCCCUGCAAGCAGACAAAAUAAAGGAAGGGAAAUUAAA